CCUACGGGUGGCUGCAGUGGGGAAUAUUGGACAAUGGGGGCAACCCUGAUCCAGCCAUGCCGCGUGUGUGAAGAAGGCCCUCGGGUUGUAAAGCACUUUCAGUGAGGAAGAACGCCUGGUGGUUAAUACCCAUCAGGAAAGACAUCACUCACAGAAGAAGCACCGGCUAACUCCGUGCCAGCAGCCGCGGUAAUACGGAGGGUGCGAGCGUUAAUCGGAAUUACUGGGCGUAAAGCGCGCGUAGGUGGCUUGAUAAGCCGGUUGUGAAAGCCCCGGGCUCAACCUGGGAACGGCAUCCGGAACUGGCAAGCUAGAGGGCAGAAGAGGAAGGUAGACCUCCCGGCGUAGCGGUGACAUGCGGAGAGAUCGGGAGGAGGGCCAGUGGCGAAGGCGGCCUUCUGGACUGACACUGACACUGAGGUGCGAAAGCGUGGGUAGCCAACAGGAUUAGAGCCCCGAGUGGUC
Molecule: ribosomal RNA, 465 nt
Filed under: Vreelandella stevensii
Lineage: Bacteria; Pseudomonadati; Pseudomonadota; Gammaproteobacteria; Oceanospirillales; Halomonadaceae
Description: partial 16S ribosomal RNA
Rfam family: Bacterial small subunit ribosomal RNA
Source: RNAcentral